GGAGAGAUGGCAGAGCGGUUUAAUGCGGCGGUCUUGAAAACCGUUGUACCGAAAGGUACCGGGGGUUCGAAUCCCUCUCUCUCCG
RNAcentral lists this transfer RNA (85 nucleotides) under Bacteroidota bacterium. Its description in RNAcentral is "Bacteroidetes bacterium (activated sludge metagenome) tRNA-Ser". It matches the Rfam family "tRNA". From Rfam's summary of the family: Transfer RNA (tRNA) molecules are approximately 80 nucleotides in length. Their secondary structure includes four short double-helical elements and three loops (D, anti-codon, and T loops). Further hydrogen bonds mediate the characteristic L-shaped molecular structure. tRNAs have two regions of fundamental functional importance: the anti-codon, which is responsible for specific mRNA codon recognition, and the 3' end, to which the tRNAs corresponding amino acid is attached (by aminoacyl-tRNA synthetases). tRNAs cope with the degeneracy of the genetic code in two manners: having more than one tRNA (with a specific anti-codon) for a particular amino acid; and 'wobble' base-pairing, i.e. permitting non-standard base-pairing at the 3rd anti-codon position. RNAcentral also lists the same sequence under 1 other name. The record is from RNAcentral. Lineage: Bacteria; Pseudomonadati; Bacteroidota.